UACAGAGGUGGCAAGCGUUGUUCGGAAUUACUGGGCGGAAAGGGCGCGUAGGCGGCCAUCUAAGUCAGACGUGAAAUCCCCCGGCUUAACCUGGGAACUGCGUCUGAUACUGGACGGCUUGAGUAUGGGAGAGGGAUGUAGAAUUCCAGGUGUAGCGGUGAAAUGCGUAGAUAUCUGGAGGAAUACCGGUGGCGAAGGCGGCAUCCUGGACCAUUACUGACGCUGAGGCGCGAAAGCUAGGGGAGCAAACGGG
RNAcentral lists this ribosomal RNA (253 nucleotides) under uncultured bacterium. RNAcentral's name for it is "partial 16S ribosomal RNA". It matches the Rfam family "Bacterial small subunit ribosomal RNA", at positions 524 to 776 of the family's 1533-position model. The record is from RNAcentral.